This 253-nucleotide ribosomal RNA is filed under the name uncultured bacterium. RNAcentral's name for it is "partial 16S ribosomal RNA". It matches the Rfam family "Bacterial small subunit ribosomal RNA", at positions 524 to 776 of the family's 1533-position model. The record is from RNAcentral.
UACGGAGGGUGCGAGCGUUAAUCGGAAUAACUGGGCGUAAAGGGCGCGCGGGCGGGCUUUUAAGUGAGAUGUAAAAUCCCCGGGCUUAACCUGGGAAUAGCAUUUCAGACUGGGAGUCUAGAGUACUUUAGGGAGGGGUAGAAUUCCACGUGUAGCGGUGAAGUGCGUAGAGAUGUGGGGGAAUACCGAAGGCGAAGGCAGCCCCUUGGGAAUGUACUGACGCUCAUGUGCGAAAGCGUGGGGAGCAAACAGG